ACAAAGGCUUUUUGAGUUAUCUGAAAGAAGAAAAGCCAUUCACCAUAAAAAAAAAUUCUUUU
Phaethon lepturus (White-tailed tropicbird) is the source of this 62-nucleotide non-coding RNA. The record is from Rfam. Lineage: Eukaryota; Metazoa; Chordata; Aves; Phaethontiformes; Phaethontidae.